Non-coding RNA from Ictidomys tridecemlineatus (thirteen-lined ground squirrel), 611 nucleotides. NCBI's taxonomy places the organism in Eukaryota, Metazoa, Chordata, Mammalia, Rodentia, Sciuridae. The record is from RefSeq and is a predicted model, not a curated record.
AUGUGGAUUGCAAGUACAUCCAAGAACAUGGUGUAAUUCAGGACGAAGGAGGCGAGGGGACACUUUCUUGGGGGAUUCAAGAGCUUGAAUUAAGAUUUGAAUGCAGAUAAGGUUUGAGAACAGAUUCUAGCCACUUUAUCUAUGGCUCAAGCAUCAUCAGGAAAACAUUCACAAUCUACAAUUUAGAAUAUUGGCUACUGUUAUUCCGUAUUGACUGAAUCCUAAUUUGCACCACCUACUAAAGCAUCUGUGCAUUGGGAGAGCUUUUUGUGACAGCUGUGGAGAUGGGGAGAGAUCUGUGGGAAGAACUUGCAUGACGAAUAUAAAACGUACUUCAUUUCCUUGUCUUAAGACACCACUAUGCAUUUCAGAUAUUUUGAAAUCAUUGUUUGUAAUAAAAAAAUGGCAUUACAUUAAAUGGUGUGUGAGUGUGUGUGUGUGUGUGUGAGUGUGUGUACGUGUAUGUGUGUGUGUGUGUGUUUGUACCAUUUUCUGCAAAAAGCUGUUACCUUUACCUUCCUUUCUCCAAGUUCUCUCCUCCAUAAAUUGCCACCAGAGACAGUCCAAAUCAAAGGGGAGAUGAUUACAAAUGGCCACUCACCUGCUGAGUG